RNAcentral lists this ribosomal RNA (348 nucleotides) under uncultured bacterium. Its description in RNAcentral is "bacterial SSU rRNA". It matches the Rfam family "Bacterial small subunit ribosomal RNA", at positions 1 to 334 of the family's 1533-position model. The record is from RNAcentral.
GUGUCUCUAUCAGAGUUUGAUCCUGGCUCAGGAUGAACGCUAGCUACAGGCUUAACACAUGCAAGUCGAGGGGCAGCAUGAAUACUGGCUUGCCAAUAUUUGAUGGCGACCGGCGCACGGGUGAGUAACACGUAUCCAACCUUCCGGUUACUCGGGGAUAGGCUUUCGAAAGAAAGAUUAAUACCUGAUGUUAUUAUGUCCUUGCAUGGGGGUGUAAUUAAAGAUUUAUUGGUAUGCGAUGGCGAUGCGUCUGAUUAGGUAGUAGGCGGGGUAACGGCCCACCUAGCCGACGAUCAGUAGGGGUUCUGAGAGGAAGGUCCCCCACACUGGAACUGAGACACGGUCCAG